RNAcentral lists this long non-coding RNA (833 nucleotides) under Musa acuminata (dwarf banana). Its description in RNAcentral is "long non-coding RNA (MACU_LNC006966)". Lineage: Eukaryota; Viridiplantae; Streptophyta; Magnoliopsida; Zingiberales; Musaceae. The record is from RNAcentral.
UAACUCUGUCGCUUGUUUGGUCUUGCCAACAACGGAGUUGCAGUUGGAAGAGAAAAAAGGAGGGCUGAGGACGUGACACCAUUGGAUGAGUUUGCUUCUCUCUCUGUCUCUUCUCGCUUUCUUCUGGGAAAGCACAUGGACUGAAAAUGAUGGCAUGGCAGAUUCGGAAACAGUGCAGCGGCAGUUCAAAAAGCAGCUUUAAAUGUUAGCCCUUAUGUUUUUUUGAGCACGUUUAAUGACUGCACUCCUUUUUUUCAGACUGCACUCGUUUGGCUUGUCAAAUUUUAAUAAUAUUGUUUGUAUUAAUGUGAUCUUUAUGGUUAGACCUUAUAUUUUUGGCCUGAAGGAAGAUCACAUUAAUACAAACAUAAAGAUUUAACUAAAGGAUGUCAAAUUUUUACCUGAUAGACAAACUUGAAAGGGAGAACAAAUCGGUAACAGGAUCUAACAUGCUUGAGGAACAUAAAGAUUCUAAAGACGAACCUAAAUAUAUAAAAGAUUUCACAGAUCAAACAUGAUGAAUUACCACCCAAAAUUAUCCUAGAAAUGGUAGAGGGGAAAAAGAACAUGAAUCAUAACAAAUAUAUAAGCCGAUGGAACACGAUGAGCAGUUUGCACGCGAAAGGCCCGUUCUUGAGUGGGCGGGCCCAAGGAAAUGAGGUUGUUGAACUCGUCGGAGAGCUUCUCCGCUGUGGCUUCAACAAGGCAAUAUAAUUUGAUGUUUGAUAUAACUCAUGAAAUAUUUUCCCUAUGUAAAUGAAACUGUAGAUACACUUCAACACUGAGACCUCACAAUUACUUUGAACAGCAAACCUACGGAAACAAAAAAUCAU